Molecule: long non-coding RNA, 898 nt
Organism: Chinchilla lanigera (long-tailed chinchilla)
Lineage: Eukaryota; Metazoa; Chordata; Mammalia; Rodentia; Chinchillidae
Exons: 3
Source: RefSeq, a predicted model, not a curated record
GGCCGUCUGAGUUGAGAGCCCACGGCUUGGCACAGAAUGGAGACAACAGCUUGUACUUUCUGUCAGCAGGACCGUGAAGAUUUAGGAGAACCCUUUGCAGGUGCGGAGGCCGCCCUACUUGUUGUCCUUGCCUGUCCAGUGGCUUCCUGAUCCCACGGCCUGGGCAGCUUGGUUCUGGGACCAGUGGCUUCCCCAUGCAGUAGCUUCUUGCGGGCCUUGGACCAGUAAAGCAGCUCUUGGAGGUUCAAUCUUUCAGCUUCCUAACAAUUCUGUGCCUCAGAUGCCCUCGGAUAAACCCGCUUCCACCCAAACUGAGCAGAAGAGUUCCAUUCUCUGCCCUGCCCCCCGCAAACUGCCCGUCGCUGUCUGUCUUAGAAAGGACGCCAUGGCCAGGACUUGUCAUGAACUGCUUCUCCACGGCAGGUGCCUGAUGCAGCAGUUGUUACAGGGAACUUCUCAAGGAAAACACUGCGCAGUCAAGUACAGGUGCCUUUUAAAACAUCCUCCUGACCUGUGGACGCUGGAACCCACAGGUGCGGGACCCACAGAUGCACGGCCAGCUAGCUGCAUUUCGGUGUAGCCAAGCCAGCUGUCUGGAAAGUGUCCUCCAAGGUUGUGUGGAAAAUAAGCUCUUCUACAGACCUUCCUUAAUGCAUUUACCAAUCUUUGAAGAGAAAUCACUUCUUAUGAAAACUUUCCUCUGGUAAUAGCAUGUUCCUGAGCCCUACCCAGACCUACAAAAGCCAUACCUCUGCAGGCUGGCGAGGACGCCCUCCACUCUGACUUUUGCUGGCCUGAGAAAUCACACACCUAACAGGUUUUAGGGACUGAUGCUGCCAGCCUCUAGAGUUGUGCUUUUGUUUGUUUUCUUCUGGUACUAGAAAUAGCACCCAGGGCC